CAUCUACUCCCUCCGUCCGGAAAUACUUGUCAUCAAAAUGAAUAAAAGGAGAUGUAUCUAGACGUAUAUUAGUUUUAGAUACAACUCUUUUUAUCAAUUUUGAUGACAAUUAUUUUCGGACGGAGGGAGUAUUUU
This is a non-coding RNA of Triticum aestivum (bread wheat), 135 nucleotides long. The record is from Rfam. Lineage: Eukaryota; Viridiplantae; Streptophyta; Magnoliopsida; Poales; Poaceae.